CCUACGGGAGACAGCAGUGGGGAAUAUUGCACAAUGGGGGAAACCCUGAUGCAGCGACGCCGCGUGAAGGAAGAAGUAUUUCGGUAUGUAAACUUCUAUCAGCAGGGAAGAAAAUGACGGUACCUGACUAAGAAGCCCCGGCUAACUACGUGCCAGCAGCCGCGGUAAUACGUAGGGGGCAAGCGUUAUCCGGAUUUACUGGGUGUAAAGGGAGCGUAGGCGGUGAUGCAAGUCAGAAGUGAAAGCCCGCAGCUCAACUGCGGGACUGCUUUUGAAACUGUACGGCUGGAGUGCAGGAGAGGUAAGUGGAAUUCCUAGUGUAGCGGUGAAAUGCGUAGAUAUUAGGAGGAACACCAGUGGCGAAGGCGGCUUACUGGACUGUAACUGACGUUGAGGCUCGAAAGCGUGGGGAGCAAACAGGAUUAGAUACCCGAGUAGUC
This 440-nucleotide ribosomal RNA is filed under the name uncultured bacterium. RNAcentral's name for it is "partial 16S ribosomal RNA". It matches the Rfam family "Bacterial small subunit ribosomal RNA", at positions 338 to 795 of the family's 1533-position model. The record is from RNAcentral.